CAGAGACACGCGGCUGCCAGCACCCUGCAGGCCCGGUGGAAGGUGUACAGGCGCCAGAAGAGGGAGGCCGCGCUGGGCGAGGCGGCCACGGUGCUCCAGGCGGCCUUCCGCGGACACCUGGCUCGGGCGAGGCUAUUGGCGAGCCC
This is a long non-coding RNA of Myotis brandtii (Brandt's bat), 146 nucleotides long. RefSeq lists it as uncharacterized. The record is from RefSeq and is a predicted model, not a curated record. Lineage: Eukaryota; Metazoa; Chordata; Mammalia; Chiroptera; Vespertilionidae. The transcript is spliced from 3 exons.